RNAcentral lists this ribosomal RNA (466 nucleotides) under uncultured bacterium. Its description in RNAcentral is "partial 16S ribosomal RNA". It matches the Rfam family "Bacterial small subunit ribosomal RNA", at positions 28 to 507 of the family's 1533-position model. The record is from RNAcentral.
GAUGAACGCUGGCGGCGUGCUUAACACAUGCAAGUCGAACGGAAAGGCCACAGCUUGCUGUGGUACUCGAGUGGCGAACGGGUGAGUAACACGUGGGUUAUCUGCCCUGUACUUCGGGAUAAGCUUGGGAAACUGGGUCUAAUACCGGAUAGGAAUCACAUGUGGGUGUGUGGUUGGAAAGCUUUUGCGGUAUGGGAUGAGCUCGCGGCCUAUCAGCUUGUUGGUGGGGUAAUGGCCUACCAAGGCGUCGACGGGUAGCCGGCCUGAGAGGGUGUACGGCCACAUUGGGACUGAGAUACGGCCCAGACUCCUACGGGAGGCAGCAGUGGGGAAUAUUGCACAAUGGGCGCAAGCCUGAUGCAGCGACGCCGCGUGGGGGAUGACGGCCUUCGGGUUGUAAACUCCUUUCGUCAGGGACGAAGCGAAAGUGACGGUACCUGGAUAAGAAGCACCGGCUAACUACGUG